This is a long non-coding RNA of Gallus gallus (chicken), 5807 nucleotides long. RefSeq lists it as uncharacterized. NCBI's taxonomy places the organism in Eukaryota, Metazoa, Chordata, Aves, Galliformes, Phasianidae. The transcript is spliced from 2 exons. The record is from RefSeq and is a predicted model, not a curated record.
AGAGCCGACGCGCCGUACCCGCCUGGCGGAGCGCUGCUAACCGCCGGCCCGUCGUUAGGGGAGGGGCGGCCGCUACCAUCCCGGGGGAGGGGCUCCUCGCGGCCGGCUGCUCCGUGCAAGCGACGGCUGCGGCUGGGAGGGUCGCCGUGCCACCGCGGGGUCACGUCGGAGCAACCGCGGAGCCGCCAGAGAGGCGGCCCCCCCCAUCACCACAGAGCCACUCCACAGCCACUGGCAGAGUCACCGUAGAGCCACCACAGAACCAUCACGAGAGCCCCUCUGCCACCACACAACACUUCUGCCAGUGUAGAGCCAUCACAGAGCCACCUCACAACCACUGGCAGAGCCACCAUAGAGCCACCACAGGCCCCUCUGCCACCCAGAGAGCCAUCACAGGGCCAUCGCAGCCACCAUAGAGCCAUCACAGGGCAACUACAGAGCCCCUCAGCCACCAGAGAGCCCCCACAACCGCUCUGCCACCAUAGAGCCACCACAGGGCCCCUCUGCCCCCCACAGAGCCAUCACAGAACAUCUCUACCACCAUGGACCCGCCACAGAGCCUCACUGCUACCACAGAGCCACCACAGAGCCUUUCUGCCAGCAGAGAACCACUACACAGACCCCCCUCUACCACCACAGAGCCAUCACAGAACCCCUCUGCCACCACAGAGCCACUACUCAGCCCUGGCUGCCACCACCACUGCUACAGAGCCACCUCAGAGCUGCCCUCAUUGCUACCACAGAGCACCCAGCACAGCCAUAGAAUGCCACCACCACUGCCCUACCCCUAAGUCCCUACCAUCAUCUGAGAGCCAUUGCCACCAAAACACCACUACAAAGACACCAGUAUCAUCAAAGGGGCAUAGGAGCUACCAUCAAGUUACCUCAAGGACACCAGUGCCACUCCAGAGCUGCCACCAUCACCACAGGACCAGCACAAAGACCACCAGCCUCUUCCUCCCAGGGGUUACUUAUAGCUGAGCUGAUGUACCCAUGGACAUUCUAGGGUACUGGGUCGUACCUCCACCUGGAGAACAUAUAACGACCAAACGAGGAGCAGCUGGCCCUGGGUUCAGCUGGGAGACACCCAGCAAAGCAAAGGGCUGCAGGGGAAGCAUCCUGCCCCCUCCUCACACAGCCCAAACCCACAGGAGAGGGGUGGCUUUGGCUGCUCUGGGGACAAGUCCUCAGUAGCAUGGCCAGGUGGGGCUCCCUGGGUGGCCCAGUCUGGGGGUAGGGGGCUGUGCCACCGGGAGGCAGCAGAGCCCAGGCAAUGAACACGUCACCUUGCACUGCAUGGGGCUCGUGUCAUUCUGAAGCUUGCUGGAGAAACCCCCAGGAGUAGGUUCUCCAUUAUGCUGCUGGACCCGUGCUUUAUUUAAUCGAGGCUUGCCUCGAUUAAGCGUAAUGUGGUGAUGGUUCUUCCUGGAGAUCCCAGAGGUGGCAUUACAGACUGUGUCUCUUGGCCCAGAGGACUCAAAGGGAGCGCUCCAUUGUCCUCUUCUGGGACAGCCUUGUGCCCCCUGCGGUGGGUGUGAGUUCACAGCAGGCCUUGCUGUCCCCCUGCUUAGCCGUGCUUCAUUUCUGACCGAGCUUUCAAAGUAUGACACAAAAUGCUUCAGUGAGCCGGGGGAUGAAAAUGGAGCUGUUUCGAUUGGCUGGCCCUUCAGAAACCUGCCAGGCCAGAACUGAAAGCAGACAGGUGUGCGAUUGACCGCGCACUCCAUCACUGUGCUGCAGUCAGGGUUUCAUUUCCUGGCCUGCCUUCCAAAGGGCCUCGUGAUUCCCAAGAGCCUCACUCCCCAGGGCUGCAGCAGGGAGCACUUGUACCUUGUGCAGUUUCAGAGGUUGUGGUGGCUGGAAUUCAGCACAGCUGCUUGCAGUGCUGCUGAGCAUCUCUGUGCUGUCCCCUCAUCUCAGCCUGAGUUUGGAUGCUGGCCCCAAAAGUUCAAUGCUAUCUUCCUUCCGACGCUUCCUCCUGCUCCUUUUCUACCGUGUGCCUUUUCUAGGCCACAGACCUUCCAGUACUUACAGCUGAUGCUGAGUUCCCAAGGAACUGGUUCUCCAAAAACAGGCUCCUGAGCUCCUGCAGAACCAGCCUGGUCACUGACUUACCUAGGAAUGGUUCUAGUGCAAAACUGUUAGGAGAGAAGGAAAACACCGCUCUCCCCGUCCAACCAAGAAGACCACUGGGGUGGUGAGAGCGUGAGUGAAGCUUAGCAACGUCUUGACCCACAGUGAAGGGCAGCUCUUGUCUCCCCCAUCAAACUGGUUUCACUUAGGGGAUGGUUAGCAUGUGGAUUGGCACCAGAAAGGCAAACCAUGGCAUAUCCUAGAGGUUUGCUCUUUCUGUGAGGCUCCAUUGACAAGAGCCUGGCUCCUCUGCUUUCUAUUGUCCAUGAGCUUUUGCAGCCACCUUUCCUCCCCUCCCCUUCCAGUCCUUUGGCUCUGAAACAUCUAUUCUAAACCGAUAGCUCAGAAGACACCAGGAGAUUGUAUUGCGCACAAGUUCACUAUUGCGGGGAGCAGCUCUAGUUCUGGGAAGAAUAACAGAAUACCAAAACGCCCAACUCAUGUGGACCUCAGAGAUGAUGCACUGGCUGUUUCAUCACUUGCACCUCUCCAGCGUGGGUGGCAGGCAUCUUCAGAUUUAGCAGUGUUUCCAUACCUACCCCACACGCGUUUUGCUGAAGGUGUAAACGAUCCUCCAAACACGAGGCCACUGGAGAAUAAGGCCCUAGAUUUCUCUGUCUCCACACCUACGUGUGUUCCCACACACACAAGAGAGCAUUGAUUUAGAGUAAAACACCACAUGUUGACAAUGCGAACUGCAUUUGACAGCAAAAACCACGAGGAAGUGACAAAGCAGGGAGAGACAGGAGGAGGUCUGGCUGCAUCUUGCUUGAUGCCUUUCUCCUGAAGGUGCGCUUUGAUUCUGGGAAGGCAACAUCAAGCCAGGUUCACCUUUAUGCCCCUGCUACUUGUUGCGGCUCUUUCCACACCAAGCAGACGGUUGUGUUCACAUAGGGUGGAGCUGGUGGAGCAGCUCAUUCCAGCCAGCUGCAAAUUCUAUGCUUUCAGACUCCUCUUUUCCCUGCAAUCUCAAGAAAUGAAUGAGACGUUGACCCUGACAGAGCAACCUUCACGUUGGUUAGUUUUCUCCCUCGUCUCACGCUCAUGUCCCGCCACCGGUCCAGCUAGAAGGCUUCCUAAAGGAAUUUCCAAGAAAGGUGCAUGGAAAACACAGGGUUGGCCAGGAAGAUGGCAGUGAGGGCUGCCAGGACCACACCUGUGCAGGAGGGGAGUGGUAGUGAUGGAGGAGUUAAGCAAGAUGAGCUCUCAGCAGCGGUGGGCAGCAAAGCCUGUAGUAGGCUGUUAGCCAAACUGGCCAGAAGCAUCUCUAACACAAUGCUACUAUCUUCUCUGUAGGGCUACAGGAGUGCUUGCUGAGGAAAGGAGGCUGUUGAUGGCUGGGACACGAGUCAUCCCAGGUAAGAGUAGUGGGUUCUGCCUCAUAAGGAAGCCAAUAUGCCCAGUCUGUACUGGGGAGGAUGUAGCCUGAGAGGUGACAUUUCCUGGCACUCUUCAGAAAUUUCAGAGUUUCACAUACAAACACCCUUCAAGCAUGCAAAACACAACACUCAGGAGGCUAUAGAUAGAACUGCUCUCUUCUAGGAAAUAUAUCACCCGCCUCCAGUAAAAACCAUCCUAAAGGAACUGCAAGCCAUUUCUGAAAGAUGCUAGCAGUCUUACAACUCAGGCUUUCCCAGACAACAUGCAGGGAUGGAGGUCCUCAGCCAGCUAACUUUGUAUGUUUGAGGUCAGGAGGACCAGUGUUGUUUCUUAUAUAGGAUUUGGGGAAACGACUUGAAGGUCUGGAAAUUUGCCCUGAAGCUUCAGGAGGAACAUCAAGCUUUUCAGAGAGAAAGAGGCAUCUCUGCUCCCUGCCGGGAGUGAUUUGGUGCUCAUGGCAGGGUGUGGGGAGCCCUGGUUCAGCUCUGUGUGCUAGAGCAGACUGCUCAGGCUGAGUGCUCUAUCUUCACUCCGCAGCUAAGUGCCCACAUCAUCUAGUUUUGAGUGAAAAUGCCAUCCUCUGCUGACAACCAGCAUUGCUCAAUCUAAUGGAUUCCUAUCAAAGCAUUUCUUUCAACCAACUGGCGCUUUAUCAAGGAAUCCCCAACCUGCUUGGAUUUUUUCCACUUGAAAGCGAGUGCCAGGAGCUGGAAUAGAUCCUUAUCUGAACAAUAACACUGCAGAAGCUGUACAGAGCAAGGCUUCAGCCAAUGGGCUGAACAAAAUAGUGAGCUGUAUCAAAACAGGUGUAUUUCUUUGCACCAGGCCUUGGUAGAAAUCAACAGAGACAGAGAUUCAGGCAUGUCAGUGUGCCAGAGUGGUGGCUUUCCACACAAGAGGACAACCCCAUAUUUUUGGGUUUAGAAGGACUUCACAACAUAUCUCCCUGACAUUUGUUUGUUGGCUGAUUUAUUGCACCGAGUGCCAGCCUGACUUCCUGCCAUCAGUAACACAGCGCUGUCAAUAUCUGGGCAUUGAGAUCAUUUGUCUGGCUGGUUCAUCUAUUCUUGGAGUGCUUUCUCACUUAGGAGUGAACGCUCCCAUAAAGAACUGUCUCUAACACACAGCAAAAGCAUUAUAAACUACUGGUGGAAAGCAAUGGUGCGAUGGAGUUGCUGGUCCCAUAGCACCCUCCCAUGAUGGCCAAAGAGACCGGCCAUGGUUAUCAAGCCCUGGUGCCAGCUCCCCCAGCACUGCCACAUGCCUGGGGAUACUCAGGUCAGUGCUGCUGUAAGUGACUUGUGCCAGCCUUACAUGAAGCAACAUUUCUGGGGUCUCAGCAGGGAAGUGAAGCUUCAGGUUGAGCUCUCUCCACUCGAAGGAAGCGUCACCCUUAGGAGAUGCCGAUUCUUUUGCCCAGUGCAGGGAACAGAGCUUGAAAGUCUGAAAGGAGCCGUGGUCAUGUCGUUGCUUGAGAGAGACAUAACUGGGAGGAACUGGGCAAUCAAGACAGAAAAAGUACAGCUUCCAAAUGUGUAUCGUCAUCCGGUUAAUUCCUGCCUCUCCCCCUGCUGCCUCCUCUGCUGAUGCUCCAGUCCCCACUUCAAUACCUGCCAGGUCCUCUUAGAGAGCUGACAUUUCCAUUCCUGACAUUUUCUGCAGCUCCAUCUGGGAAUUAAUGGCCGGAUAUUAGCAGCGAUGGGGCCGUUUAUCAUAAUUAGUCUCAUGAAGCUACGAAGCAUCCAACUAUUUUUCAUCAGCGCCGAGGAAAUAAACUGCAGAAUCCAGUAGAUGCGACGGACGAUUUAUUUAUUGAUUGAUUUAUUUUGGUCUGUCAGGAUGCAGCUUUAAAGUUUGCCGAGAUGAGCAAUGCUUCUCCGAGGCGAUGACGACAGUGAGGCUGCUCGCCUUGGGUACACAAGCAGCAGGAAAAAGGCCUUGAACCCCUCUGAAGCAGUGAGGAGGCAUUCGGUACCCUACAUCCGCUCUGCUGCUAUGAAAUGACAAGUGGCAACAGGUUGAGCCCUGCCUUGACAAGCCCAAGAGGAGAGAGCCACCAGCCAGGUGAUGGCAUCAGGAAUGGAAGACAUCUCCAGGCUGUGAGGAGCUGCAAGGCUGUGAGGAGCUCCAAGCUUCUGGACUAAGAUAUUCUGAAACAGGAUUGGAAAAGUUAGUUUAUUCGCAUCUCCUGACAAAACUCAAGCUGCUCUUGCUGUGCUUAUCUUACUACAGCAGGUUUCACCUCCAAACACCCAAAGCAGCCUUCGAGUUUGCAGAAUAAAACUAAAGCAAGA